GGCGGUGCGCCUUAUGCAUGCAAGUCGAGCGAAGCUUUUCAGUAGUUUACUACAGAAAAUGACUGAGCGGCGAACGGGUGAGUAACGCGUGAGCAAUCUACCUUAGUUACAGGGAUAGCCCGAGGAAACUCGGAUUAAUACCUGAUAUUCUUUAUAUUUCGCAUGAAAUUAAAAGGAAAGGUCAGCCGAACUAAGAUGAGCUCGCGUUCUAUCAGCUAGUUGGUGAGGUAAAAGCUCACCAAGGCUACGACGGAUAGCUGGUCUGAGAGGACGAUCAGCCACACUGGGACUGAGACACGGCCCAGACUCCUACGGGAGGCUGCAGCAGGGAAUAUUGCGCAAUGAGCGAAAGCUUGACGCAGCGACACCGCGUGUGGGAUGACGGAUCUAGGUUUGUAAACCACUUUCAGGAGGGAAGAAAAUGACGGUACCUC
Molecule: ribosomal RNA, 434 nt
Filed under: uncultured bacterium
Lineage: Bacteria
Description: bacterial SSU rRNA
Rfam family: Bacterial small subunit ribosomal RNA
Source: RNAcentral